AUGAACGCUGGCGGCUUGCCUAAUACAUGCAAGUCGAGCGAACAGACGAGGAGCUUGCUCCUCUGACGUUAGCGGCGGACGGGUGAGUAACACGUGGAUAACCUACCUAUAAGACUGGGAUAACUUCGGGAAACCGGAGCUAAUACCGGAUAAUAUAUUGAACCGCCUGGUUCAAUAGUGAAAGACGGUUUUGCUGUCACUUAUAGAUGGAUCCGCGCCGCAUUAGCUAGUUGGUAAGGUAACGGCUUACCAAGGCAACGAUGCGUAGCCGACCUGAGAGGGUGAUCGGCCACACUGGAACUGAGACACGGUCCAGACUCCUACGGGAGGCAGCAGUAGGGAAUCUUCCGCAAUGGGCGAAAGCUUGACGGAGCAACGCCGCGUGAGUGAUGAAGGUCUUCGGAUCGUAAAACUCUGUUAUUAGGGAAGAACAAAUGUGUAAGUAACUAUGCACGUCUUGACGGUACCUAAUCAGAAAGCCACGGCUAACUACGUG
RNAcentral lists this ribosomal RNA (496 nucleotides) under uncultured bacterium. RNAcentral describes it as "partial 16S ribosomal RNA". It matches the Rfam family "Bacterial small subunit ribosomal RNA", at positions 29 to 507 of the family's 1533-position model. The record is from RNAcentral.